UGAUGAGUGUAAAAUACUCGAGCGGCGGACGGCUGAGUAACACGUAGGAACGUACCCCAAACUGAGGGAUAAGCACCAGAAAUGGUGUCUAAUACCGCAUGUGAUCUUCGGAUUAAAGCUUCGGCGGUUUGGGAACGGCCUGCGCAUGAUUAGUUUGUUGGUGAGGUAAUGGCUCACCAAGACUACGAUCAUUAGAUGGUCUGAGAGGAUGAUCAUCCAGACUGGGACUGAGAACGGCCCAGACUCCUACGGGAGGCAGCAGUAGGGAAUUUUCCACAAUGGGCGAAAGCCUGAUGGAGCAACGCCGCGUGCAGGAUGAAGGCUCUAGGG
This 330-nucleotide ribosomal RNA is filed under the name uncultured bacterium. RNAcentral describes it as "bacterial SSU rRNA". It matches the Rfam family "Bacterial small subunit ribosomal RNA", at positions 68 to 422 of the family's 1533-position model. The record is from RNAcentral.